Molecule: small nuclear RNA, 57 nt
Organism: Erinaceus europaeus (western European hedgehog)
Lineage: Eukaryota; Metazoa; Chordata; Mammalia; Eulipotyphla; Erinaceidae
Gene: U7
Rfam family: U7 small nuclear RNA
About the family: Animal histone pre-mRNAs are spliced by a different mechanism than nuclear pre-mRNAs and self-splicing introns.
Source: Ensembl
AAAAGAAACUUUUAGAAUUUGUCUAGCAGGUCUUCCGGUUUCUACCGGAAAGCCCCC